RNAcentral lists this ribosomal RNA (402 nucleotides) under bacterium. RNAcentral's name for it is "partial 16S ribosomal RNA". It matches the Rfam family "Bacterial small subunit ribosomal RNA", at positions 355 to 776 of the family's 1533-position model. The record is from RNAcentral.
UGGGGAAUUUUGCACAAUGGGGGAAACCCUGAUGCAGCGACGCCGCGUGAUUUAGAAGGCCUUCGGGUUGUAAAAAUCUUUUCUAUGGGAAGAAAAUGACAGUACCAUAGGAAUAAGGACCGGCUAAUUACGUGCCAGCAGCCGCGGUAAUACGUAAGGUCCGAGCGUUGUCCGGAAUCAUUGGGCGUAAAGGGUACGUAGGCGGGUAAGCAAGUUAGAAGUGAAAUCCUAUAGCUCAACUAUAGUAAGCUUUUAAAACUGCUCAUCUUGAGGUAUGGAAGGGAAAGUGGAAUUCCUAGUGUAGCGGUGAAAUGCGCAGAUAUUAGGAGGAAUACCGGUGUCGAAGGCGACUUUCUGGCCAUAACCUGACGCUGAGGUACGAAAGCGUGGGUAGCAAACAGG